This 73-nucleotide transfer RNA is filed under the name Apaloderma vittatum (bar-tailed trogon). It matches the Rfam family "tRNA". From Rfam's summary of the family: Transfer RNA (tRNA) molecules are approximately 80 nucleotides in length. The record is from Rfam by way of RNAcentral. Lineage: Eukaryota; Metazoa; Chordata; Aves; Trogoniformes; Trogonidae.
GCACAGUUAGCUCAGUCAGUUGAGCAUAGCACUAACAACGCUAAGGUCAUGGGUUCAAUUCCCAUUCAGUCCC